This 445-nucleotide ribosomal RNA is filed under the name uncultured bacterium. RNAcentral describes it as "bacterial SSU rRNA". It matches the Rfam family "Bacterial small subunit ribosomal RNA", at positions 457 to 902 of the family's 1533-position model. The record is from RNAcentral.
UACCCGGUGAGGCUGAGAGUACCUGAAGAAUAAGCACCGGCUAACUACGUGCCAGCAGCCGCGGUAAUACGUAGGGUGCAAGCGUUAAUCGGAAUUACUGGGCGUAAAGCGUGCGCAGGCGGACUUUUAAGCCAGAUGUGAAAGCCCCGAGCUUAACUUGGGAAUUGCGUUUGGAACUGGGAGUCUAGAGUCUGUCAGAGGGGGAUGGAAUUCCACGUGUAGCAGUGAAAUGCGUAGAGAUGUGGAGGAACACCGAUGGCGAAGGCAGUCCCCUGGGAUAAGACUGACGCUCAUGCACGAAAGCGUGGGGAGCAAACAGGAUUAGAUACCCUGGUAGUCCACGCCCUAAACGAUGUCUACUAGUUGUUGGGGUAGCAAUACCUCAGUGACGCAGCUAACGCGUGAAGUAGACCGCCUGGGGAGUACGGUCGCAAGAUUAAAACUC